GAAAAAUAUAACAAAUCCAUAGAAGUUUACUGUUCUAUUGAGCUUUUAGAGGUUCUUAAGGGAAAUUCUGAAAAAUCAAAACAGCAAAUUUUUUUUGAUAAGAGUUCUACUGUUCUAUUGAAAGCUCAGGGAUUCAUUUAUUUCUUAAAAAUAAAUUCCUAUCCUCAUAUUCCAAUGGGUGAUAUUUGGUUAUUGAAGUUUGAUUCAAGCUAGUUGAGGGCUGAUCUAUCAUUAGUUUUGUUGGGUUAAUUUCUGGGUUUCGUAUCAAAAUUUGUUGAUUUCCAACUGCUGAAGCUGUUGAUUUGUGGUUGUGCUGACUCUUCACCUCUUUUUCUUUAACACCCAGGUACACAACUUUGUAAUACUGUUGGUUGUGAAGUUAACAUUUGAAGGAUGAAUUGGGAAGUGAAGAAUUGAAGUAUUGAAAUGCUCUAUUUUCGUUUUCUAUGACUUAUUAUCUAGUUUACUAUGUUUAUUUCAUCUAAAUCUGCUCUAAAUGAGUAGUUCAUAGCCAUCAGUAGCAGUGAUGUAAUCUUAGCAAUCAUAUUAUGGAUCUUCAGUUCAACUUAACAGUGUCAUGCGUGAUUUGUGUAAUUUUAUUUGUGCAUUAAUAGGGGUAUGGUGUUUUGGUUCACUAGCACCUGGUCCACUAGUAUCAUGUUUUGAGUAUUAUUCAUGUUUAAUUAGGGUAGACCUCGAAUGGUGUCUAUUUGUGUAGAGUCAUUGAUCAUGUUCCAGGUUAUAUUUGUUCGAGGUUAUUUAAAGGUUAUGGUUGUUGAGUAAUGGCUUUGUUUGGAUUUGGUCAAUUAUGGGUCAUUUAGUGUUUGGUCUGUUAGUGAUCGAUCAAGCAGCCAUUGACAUAUCAUUUGUUUGUUGGUUAACAUCUGCGUGAAAGUGAUACAAUUAGCCAAGUUAGUAUGAGAUUGAAAUUGUGGAAAUUUUGAAAUCUUGCUGCUUAUUGUUAGUUAUUAGGACCAUAAUUCUCACUCGAAGUCAAAAUCAAUUCAUUGCUGGAUGUCAUAUGGUGUGUUACAAAUGAGUCAGGGAUUCCAAAGUUCACUUGCUCAUAUGAUGAUCUCGUUGUUGCCUCAGCUGCAUCUUCAGUCGUGUUAAUAAGUGUUAGGGAUUUGAUGUUGAGCCUCAGUUGUGGGAUUCUAAAUUUGUGCUCUUUAUGCGGCCCAAUUCUUAAUUGUCUUUUUUAGUACAUCCUGGCAACUUUCUGGGCCAAUUGUACACUUGUGCUGGCACAAGCCUUCUGCUCAAAUGGUUUAACCUUUCCUCAGGUAGGAUAUUUUAAAUUCAAUGGAGCCUUCGUGUAACGACUAGACCGGACGUUUUGAGAAAUUAAGCUCUAUUCAGUAGCAUAAGGUCUGGAACAGCUUCAGCAUAUGAAUAUUGACUUGCGUGCAUAGUAGAAUUCGGCUUUCGGAUGGUUUAGAGUCAAAUUGAAAGAAGAAAUCUAGUUUUGGAAGUUUGAACGGUGAAAAGUUGUCUAGAAUUGGACUUUUGGGUAAAUGACCCGAAAAGGGUCGUGGAUGUGUGAGAACGUGAUUUUUGCUUUCACGACAAUCACUCCAAAAGAAAUCGAACAAAAUAAAACAAAUUGUCUUUGUGUAUAAUUCUUGAGAAUUUGCAUGGCAUUUGGAUAGUUAUUUGUAGUUAUUAUUUGUGAUUGUUUAUUUUUAUUAAUUAAAAAUACAAAAAAAAAUACUACGUGCAAAUUUAGGAUCUUAUUCUAUAUUUAGGAAUUAAUUAAAUCAUAAUUUGGUUUUAAAAGAAAAAUCACAAAAUAGGCAUUUUAUUCUAUUUUUUGUCAUUUAAAUGCGACAUUCUGUGAUUUUAUCUUAGAAGUGGACUUUUAGGUAAACGUGUGACAACCCGACUCGUCGUCAUGUGAGUUACCACCCCGUUUCCCCAUUUUCUGCUUCUUUAUGUCUCAGUAUCAGUUUCGUGUGUGGUCGAGUUGGUUUGGAUGAAUUUUUGAAGGAAAUGAGACUUAGUCUUUUUAAGGAAAGCUUAGUUUGGAAAAGUCAACCGGAUGUUAACCUAGUUAGAGGGCUCAAAUGUGAAUUCUGAUGAUUCGGUUAGCUUCGAGGGAUUAUUUUUGAAUUAGGAAUGGGACUGGAAGUGAUUUUAGAGUCCCGGUGUAGAAUUAGGCUUGAAUUGGUGAAGUUAGUAUUUUGGCGAAUUCCGGUUGAUUGGCGAGAUUUUGAUUAGAUGGUCGGAAUAGAAUUCGAGAGUUGCUGUAGCUUUGUUAGGUGAUGUGCGAGGUGUGUGCAAAAUUUGAGGUCAUUCGGAGGUGUUUUGACUGGGUUUUUGAUCAAAUGUGUGUUUGGAAGUUUUAUAAGAACUUAGGCUUGAAUCAGAUGUAAUUUGAUGGUUUUGGUGUUGUUUGUGGUGUUUUAAUGAUUGGAACAAGUUUGAAUGAUGUUAUAGGAGGUGUUGGUGCUAUUAGUUGAGGUCUCGGGGGCCUCGAUGUGAUUUCAAAUGGCUACUGGGAUGAAUUUUGGACUUGUGAUAUUGUAGAAAAUCCAGCAGCAGGUCCAGGCCAGAUUUGGCCUUCGCGUCUGCGAAGGUAGGUCCGUGUUUGCGGAAGGUCCUGGGAGUGUGCAUCAUGUUCGCGUGACAAGUGUUGUGUUCGCAUAGACGGAUUUUAAGUCCCAUAUUAUUUGUUCUUCGCGUUCGCGACAUAAGGCUCGCAUUCCGUAGUUGUAUCAUUUAAAGCAUCGCGUCUGCGGAUAAGGCACCGGGUUUGUGAAGGGUAAAAUUGGUCAGUGGGCCUGGGGCUCAAAUUUUGCUAAUUUCGAGAUUUUUGCUAUUUUCGUUUGUUUUCAAUUGGGUAUUGUUCCAUUGGCAUAUUGUGAUGUAUCCAUUGUGGUUUUGAUUAGUUUCGAUGCGCGGGGAGGUUGAUUUGAGAGGCAAAGGCAUAGCGAGCUAGGAAUUUGGCUGGCUUGAGGUGAGUAAUAGAUGUAAAUAUUGUCCUGAGGGUUUGAAAUCCCAGAAUUUCACAUCAUAUGCUAUAUUGAGGCGACUUGCAUGCCAGAUGGCGAGCAUGGGGUAGAGUACUGUUGGGGAUGGUGACUUAUUCCGUCGCGAUAGAUGAAUUUACUAUGUAUUUGACUGAAUAUCACUUGUUAUCAUUAUGAUUUGAGCUGAUUGUCAUAUUUGGGCUUCGUUUAAAUUGAUUGAAUCCUUCAGGGAUUGCUAUUAUUGGUGUACCAUUUUUACGUAUUAUUGAACUCAAUCCUAGUAUUUAAUAGUAUUUUUCAAACUCAGCCAUCUUUUCUCAAACUUCAAACUUAAAUAAUAUUUCUAAUGAAGUUUGGGCUGAAUAUUUAUAUGUUAUUGUGCCCGAGGGGUUAUAUGAUUUUGGACUGAGCAUGGGAUCGGCCUGCGCGCUGCAGUAGUAUUAUAUUGAUAUUGAUAUGAGGUCGAGAGCCUAGUUGAUGCCACGAAAUGGAUUAUAUUGCUCUUGGGCCGUAAGUGGCCCCUCACAGAGUCUGCACACCCCCAGUGAGCGUCGUUGACGAUAAAUAAAUGGAGCGGGCUGCACGCCGCAGUGGGUACUAGAGAGUACCAGACUAUCUAUUGCAUUUAAUGUUUGACUUUCAUUUACUAACUUAUCUGUUGCAGUAUUUCCUUAAUUGUUUUCAUUGGCUUAAGGAAUUUAUACUACUUGGUCAACAUUGCUGCAUUUAUAGAAUUACUUUGUGCCUAUUCAAGAUUUAGUACUCACAUUACUCCCUGCACCUUGUGUGCAGAUCUAGGUGCAUCUGAGGCUGAGUGAGGACUUCUCUAUCGAGCAGCUUAUCCGGGAGUAUUAAGGCAGCUGCAUGACGUCUACAGUCCUGAUUUUCCAUUUUAUCUUAUUGAUUCAUUUCAGCAUUUCUUUAGAACGAAAUGUAGUAGGUUGAUACUCAUGUAUUAGAGGCUCAGUCUUGUGACUACGGAUUCUUUGGGUUGUGUAGUCGUAUUAGUAUUUAGUAUUUUCG
RNAcentral lists this long non-coding RNA (3992 nucleotides) under Nicotiana benthamiana. RNAcentral's name for it is "long non-coding RNA (NBEN_LNC031282)". Lineage: Eukaryota; Viridiplantae; Streptophyta; Magnoliopsida; Solanales; Solanaceae. The record is from RNAcentral.